This 348-nucleotide ribosomal RNA is filed under the name Chloropicon mariensis. Its description in RNAcentral is "partial Bacterial small subunit ribosomal RNA". It matches the Rfam family "Bacterial small subunit ribosomal RNA", at positions 1 to 350 of the family's 1533-position model. The record is from RNAcentral. Lineage: Eukaryota; Viridiplantae; Chlorophyta; Chloropicophyceae; Chloropicales; Chloropicaceae.
UUGAGAGUUUGAUCCUGGCUCAGGACGAACGCUGGCGGCGUGCCUAACACAUGCAAGUCGAGCGAAUGAAGUUCCUUCGGGAAUGGAUUUAGCGGCGGACGGGUGAGUAACACGUGGGCAACCUGCCUCAUAGAGGGGAAUAGCCUUCCGAAAGGGAGAUUAAUACCGCAUAAGAUUGUAGUACCGCAUGAUACAGCAAUUAAAGGAGCAAUCCGCUAUGAGAUGGGCCCGCGGCGCAUUAGCUAGUUGGUGAGGUAACGGCUCACCAAGGCGACGACGGGUAGCCGGCCUGAGAGGGUGACCGGCCACACUGGGACUGAGACACGGCCCAGACUCCUACGGGAGGCA